AUUGAACGCUGGCGGCAGGCCUAACACAUGCAAGUCGAGCGGAUGAAGGGAGCUUGCUCCUGUAGCCAGCGGCGGACUGGUGAGUCAUGCCUAGGACACUGCCUGGGAGUGGCUGAUAACACCCGGAAACGGGCCCUAAUACCGCAUACGUCCUGAGGCAGAAAGUCGGGGAUCUUCGCACCUCACGCUAGCCCAUGAGCCGAUGUCGGAUUCGCUAGUUGGUGGGGUAAAGGCUUACCAAGGCGACGAUCCGUAACUGGUCUGAGAGGACGAUCAGGCACACUGGAACUGAGACACGGCCCAGACUCCUACGGGAGGCAGCAGUGGGGAAUUUUGGACAAUGGGCGCAAGCCUGAUCCAGCCAUGCCGCGUGCGUGAAGAAGGUCUUCGGAUUGUAAAGCACUUUAAGCUGGGAGGAAGGGCAGUAAGCUAAUACCUUGCUGUUUUGACGUUACCAACAGAAUAAGCACCGGCUAACUUCGUG
This 484-nucleotide ribosomal RNA is filed under the name uncultured bacterium. Its description in RNAcentral is "partial 16S ribosomal RNA". It matches the Rfam family "Bacterial small subunit ribosomal RNA", at positions 30 to 507 of the family's 1533-position model. The record is from RNAcentral.